GGCCAGACUCCUACGGGAGGCAGCAGUGGGGAAUAUUGCACAAUGGGGGAAACCCUGAUGCAGCGACGCCGCGUGAGCGAUGAAGUAUUUCGGUAUGUAAAGCUCUAUCAGCGGGGAAGAAAAUGACGGUACCUGACUAAGAAGCCCCGGCUAACUACGUGCCAGCAGCCGCGGUAAUACGUAGGGGGCAAGCGUUAUCCGGAUUUACUGGGUGUAAAGGGAGCGUAGACGGCCAUGCAAGCCAGGGGUGAAAGCCCGGGGCCCAAGCCCGGGACUGCCCUUGGAACUGCAUGGCUGGAGUGCGGGAGGGGCAGGCGGAAUUCCUGGUGUAGCGGUGAAAUGCGUAGAUAUCAGGAGGAACACCGGCGGCGAAGGCGGCCUGCUGGACUGCGACUGACGUUGAGGCUCGAAAGCGUGGGGAGCGAACGGGAUUAGAUACCCUUGUA
Molecule: ribosomal RNA, 446 nt
Filed under: uncultured bacterium
Lineage: Bacteria
Description: bacterial SSU rRNA
Rfam family: Bacterial small subunit ribosomal RNA
Source: RNAcentral